RNAcentral lists this ribosomal RNA (543 nucleotides) under Joostella sp. J2115m. RNAcentral describes it as "bacterial SSU rRNA". It matches the Rfam family "Bacterial small subunit ribosomal RNA", at positions 162 to 703 of the family's 1533-position model. Lineage: Bacteria; Pseudomonadati; Bacteroidota; Flavobacteriia; Flavobacteriales; Flavobacteriaceae. The record is from RNAcentral.
AUUAAUACCUUAUAGUAUUGUUGAUAAUCAUUUAUUAACAAUUAAAGUUUCGGCGGUAAAAGAUGGGCAUGCGUCCUAUUAGCUAGAUGGAGUGGUAACGGCACCCCAUGGCAACGAUAGGUAGGGGUCCUGAGAGGGAGAUCCCCCACACUGGUACUGAGACACGGACCAGACUCCUACGGGAGGCAGCAGUGAGGAAUAUUGGACAAUGGACGCAAGUCUGAUCCAGCCAUGCCGCGUGCAGGAAGACGGCCCUAUGGGUUGUAAACUGCUUUUAUACAAGAAGAAUAAGGCUUACGUGUAAGUUGAUGACGGUAUUGUAUGAAUAAGCACCGGCUAACUCCGUGCCAGCAGCCGCGGUAAUACGGAGGGUGCAAGCGUUAUCCGGAAUCAUUGGGUUUAAAGGGUCCGUAGGCGGGCUAAUAAGUCAGGGGUGAAAGUUUGCAGCUCAACUGUAAAAUUGCCUUUGAUACUGUUAGUCUUGAAUUAGUAGGAAGUGGUUAGAAUAAGUAGUGUAGCGGUGAAAUGCAUAGAUAUUACUUA